UACGUAGGGUGCAAGCGUUGUCCGGAAUUAUUGGGCGUAAAGAGCUUGUAGGCGGUUUGUCGCGUCUGCUGUGAAAUUUCGGGGCUCAACCCCCGAACUUGCAGUGGGUACGGGCAGACUAGAGUGUGGUAGGGGAGACUGGAAUUCCUGGUGUAGCGGUGAAAUGCGCAGAUAUCAGGAGGAACACCGGUGGCGAAGGCGGGUCUCUGGGCCGAUACUGACGCUGAGGAGCGAAAGCGUGGGGAGCGAACAGG
This 254-nucleotide ribosomal RNA is filed under the name uncultured bacterium. RNAcentral's name for it is "partial 16S ribosomal RNA". It matches the Rfam family "Bacterial small subunit ribosomal RNA", at positions 524 to 776 of the family's 1533-position model. The record is from RNAcentral.